GACAUGUUGGCAAGACUGAGCAGGCUGCUUGGGAGAGAGAAUGGAGAACAUGGAGAGACCAAAGAGAGGAAGAAGGAAGCUGGCCUCAGUGUCAAACCUGGAGAAAUAGAUGGUUCUGUCUAAGGCACAGUGACUCCUGAGCAGAGGACUACUCGGGAAGCACCAUCCCAACUCUCCACCUUCACUGAGCAGGAGCAGGAGCAGGUGCAGGAAAUGAAAAAACUAGAGAAACUCACCAUUCGUCUACAUGAUAUGGAAUGUGAGAGAAAUGAGCUGCGUGGAAUCCUGGCCAAUUACACAAACAAGGAUUUGAACAACAGGCUAAAUUUUGAACUCGAGAUGCUUGAAAUGGAACACAAGCAGGUGAUGUCAGCUCUCCAGAAAUUGCCCAUGGAGAUUAGUGAUGCCUUGCACAAGUGCAAGGGGCUGAUUGAGGAGACUGAAUACUUUAGUUACCUCCAUGGCCGGUUCCUACAAGAGUGCAAUC
Long non-coding RNA from Peromyscus eremicus (cactus mouse), 487 nucleotides. RefSeq lists it as uncharacterized. The transcript has 4 exons. Lineage: Eukaryota; Metazoa; Chordata; Mammalia; Rodentia; Cricetidae. The record is from RefSeq and is a predicted model, not a curated record.